This is an RNA transcript of Theobroma cacao (cacao), 1694 nucleotides long. RefSeq lists it as uncharacterized. NCBI's taxonomy places the organism in Eukaryota, Viridiplantae, Streptophyta, Magnoliopsida, Malvales, Malvaceae. The record is from RefSeq and is a predicted model, not a curated record.
CUCGCUUGCUCUUGUUUAUCUUGUUUGCUCCAUGGCCUUACUUGAUACACCAAACAAAACGCCACCAGAAAAGGAUAAAGAAAACCUAAAUCUCAGAGCUCAGCAGCCCUGUCCCUGAAUAGAGAAGAGGCAAGAAGUUUAUGAAUGAACAAUAGCCCAUGCGAUUGCUAGAUGCUAACAAAAUGGAAAGAGAAAUUGAAGAGCAUGACCAGGAAGAACUUUCGGGCUUUAUAUUUAUGUGCAAUGGAAGGACAAAACCGCAGUGCUACCAGUACCGCGUUUUUGGUCUUCCUGUUGGAAAAAUGGAGGUUGUUGAGAAAAUUAAGCCAGGCAUGAAGCUUUUUCUGUUUGAUUUUGAAUUGAAGCUUCUCUAUGGGAUAUACGAGGCAACCUCAGUUGGAACAAUGAACCUGGAGCAAACUGCUUUCAAUGGGAGGUUCCCUGCCCAGGUGGGGUUCAAGAUCUAUAAGGAUUGUUUACCUUUGCAUGAGAGUUCUUUUAGACAUGCCAUUGAACAUAACUACCAGAAGGGCUUCAAGUUCAAUCAAGAGCUCAACAAGCAGCAGGUGAGGAGUCUAUUGUCUUUAUUUCGUCCUUUGACGGUGUCAGCACUUGGUUCUCUGCAGCCAAUGCAACAUCAAGCUGUGGAAAAUCAAUCAAGGCUACCUUUUCUCAAGGAUUCAUGUGCACAGGUCUUAGAGUCUCAACGUGUUCAGCAGAUAGGUUUUCAGCGAUAUAAUUGUUACAGGCCACUACUGGAUAUGAGCCAUGUCCAUCCAGUGAUGAAACCUCAAGUCUCACUUGCUCCAGUGGAUCCAGAUGUAACUGGGAUGCAACUCGGUUAUGUUCAACCAGUUUCAGAGCCUCAGAAUAUUCUACAGAGUGCCCCCUUUCAGGAGCAGCAUUACUUUGGAUCCACUACAAACAUGGGCCAUUCCAAUCCAACUACCGUGACACAAGCUUUCCUGACAUCAAAUGGUCAAUUAUAUUUAGCAGAAGUUCAGCAGCCUUAUGUUGCUGGAAACCCUACCCAACCUGUGCCAGACCAGUAUAACAGAUAAGCAACAGCUUGGUGCAGGGAAUAAGCAUAAAUUACCAUCACAGGGAGAGGGGGAAAGUGUUCAGCAGAGGAGUGUUAUACGAUAUCCAGUACUAUAAUUCCCACCCAUAACCUGCAGCCCCUCAUGUAACACCAUAAGAGUUGUCAUAAAUGCGGACAGUGGGAUUACCUGAAGCUGCAAAUGGGACUCUUCCCCCUUGCUUACUUAUAUCCCUUUGCAGGGGCAGCUCCAACUCAUCACUGACUUACAAAGUGAGAUGAUGACACCUCGAGUGACUAUUCAAUUGCAAGCAAACGUUGGUGUCUUGGCUGAAAGGUAGCAAGUAGAUGCCAAUUUGCAUGUCUGCAUUUACUUCCACUCCACUUCCCCACCACAAGUCAUACUUCUAGUGGUUGACCUCUUGACCUUUUGUGCUCGUUGACUCCAUGACAUUUUUAAAGGAACAUCAAGUGAUCUCUUUGGGAUUGGCUCCCAAUGCCUCUAGCUUAAAAAUGUACUGCUACGUGCUUUCCACUACUAAAGGCUCCUGAUUUGCCAGACAGCUCUUGGAUUCCAAGUGCUGCACCAUGAACCCCCGAUGGGUUUUCUUGCUCUGUCUCUCUUUCACAGUAUCCAAGGGCUUUGCAUCUGAGG